Molecule: transfer RNA, 77 nt
Filed under: Planctomycetota bacterium
Lineage: Bacteria; Pseudomonadati; Planctomycetota
Description: Planctomycetes bacterium tRNA-Lys
Rfam family: tRNA
About the family: Transfer RNA (tRNA) molecules are approximately 80 nucleotides in length. Their secondary structure includes four short double-helical elements and three loops (D, anti-codon, and T loops).
Source: RNAcentral
GGACCCUUAGCAUAACUGGCUAAUGCAUCAGGUUUUUACCCUGUGGACUAUAGGUUCGAAUCCUAUAGGGUCCACCA